RNAcentral lists this ribosomal RNA (528 nucleotides) under uncultured bacterium. Its description in RNAcentral is "bacterial SSU rRNA". It matches the Rfam family "Bacterial small subunit ribosomal RNA", at positions 355 to 899 of the family's 1533-position model. The record is from RNAcentral.
UGGGGAAUCUUGGACAAUGGGGGCAACCCUGAUCCAGCCAUGCCGCGUGAGUGAUGAAGGCCUUAGGGUCGUAAAGCUCUUUCGCCUGUGAAGAUAAUGACGGUAGCAGGUAAAGAAACCCCGGCUAACUCCGUGCCAGCAGCCGCGGUAAUACGGAGGGGGUUAGCGUUGUUCGGAAUUACUGGGCGUAAAGCGCACGUAGGCGGACCAGAAAGUUGGGGGUGAAAUCCCGGGGGCUCAACCCCGGAACUGCCUCCAAAACUAUUGGUCUAGAGUCCGAGAGAGGUGAGUGGAAUUCCAAGUGUAGAGGUGAAAUUCGUAGAUAUUUGGAGGAACACCAGUGGCGAAGGCGGCUCACUGGCUCGAUACUGACGCUGAGGUGCGAAAGUGUGGGGAGCAAACAGGAUUAGAUACCCUGGUAGUCCACACCGUAAAACGAUGAAUGCCAGUCGUCGGGUAGCAUGCUAUUCGGUGACACACCUAACGGAUUAAGCAUUCCGCCUGGGGAGUACGGUCGCAAGAUUAAAA